CCUACGGGAGGCAGCAGUCGAGAAUCAUUCACAAUGGGGGAAACCCUGAUGGUGCGACGCCGCGUGGGGGAAUGAAGGUCUUCGGAUUGUAAACCCCUGUCAUGUGGGAGCAAAUUAAAAAGAUAGUAUCCCAAGAGGAAGAGACGGCUAACUCUGUGCCAGCAGCCGCGGUAAUACAGAGGUCUCAAGCGUUGUUCGGAAUCACUGGGCGUAAAGCGUGCGUAGGCUGUUUCGUAAGUCGUGUGUGAAAGGUGCGGGCUCAACCCGCGGACGGCACAUGAGACUGCGAGACUAGAGUAAUGGAGGGGGAGCCGGAAUUCUCGGUGUAGCAGUGAAAUGCGUAGAUAUCGAGAGGAACACUCGGGGCGAAGGCGGGUUCCUGGACAGUAACUGACGCUGAGGCACGAAGGCCAGGGGAGCGAAAGGGAUUAGAUACCCGAGUAGUC
This 446-nucleotide ribosomal RNA is filed under the name uncultured bacterium. RNAcentral's name for it is "partial 16S ribosomal RNA". It matches the Rfam family "Bacterial small subunit ribosomal RNA", at positions 338 to 795 of the family's 1533-position model. The record is from RNAcentral.